CUCAGGACGAACGCUGGCGGCGUGCCUAAUACAUGCAAGUCGAGCGGAGGUUAUUGAGUAGUAAUACGAGAUGACCUUAGCGGCGGACGGGUGAGUAACGCGUGAGCAACCUGGCCUAUACAGGGGGAUAACAGGGAGAAAUUCCUGCUAAUACCGCAUAAGACCACAGUAUCGCAUGGUACUGGGGUCAAAGGAGAGAUUCGGUAUAGGAUGGGCUCGCGUCCCAUUAGCUAGUUGGGGGUGCAACGGACCACCAAGGCGACGAUGGGUAGCCGACCUGAGAGGGUGAUCGGCCACACUGGGACUGAGACACGGCCCAGACUCCUACGGGAGGCAGCAGUAGGGAAUAUCGGACAAUGGGGGAAACCCUGAUCCAGCAACGCCGCGUGAAGGAAGAAGGUCUUCGGAUUGUAAACUUAUGUUGUCGGGGACGAAGAAAGACGGUACCCGACGAGGAAGCCCCGGCUAACUACGUGCCAGCAGCCGCGGUAAUACGUAGGGGGCGAGCGUUGUCCGGAAUUACUGGGCGUAAAGGGCGCGUAGGCGGCCAAUUAAGUUAGAUGUGAAAUCCCUGGGCUUAACCUGGGUGUUGCAUUUAAAACUGAUAGGCUUGAGUGCAGGAGAGGGAAGCGGAAUUCCUAGUGUAGCGGUGGAAUGCGUAGAUAUUAGGAGGAACACCAGUGGCGAAGGCGGCUUUCUGGACUGUAACUGACGCUGAGGCGCUAGAGCGUGGGGAGCAAACAGGAUUAGAUACCCUGGUAGUCCACGCCGUAAACGAUGGAUUUUAGGUGUAGAGGGUAUCGACCCCCUCUGUGCCGGAGCAAACGCAAUAAGUAUCCCGCCUGGGGAGUACGGCCGCAAGGUUGAAACUCAAAGGAAUUGACGGGGGCCCGCACAAGCAGCGGAGCAUGUGGUUUAAUUCGAAGCAACGCGAAGAACCUUACCAAGGCUUGACAUCCCCUGACGUAUGUAGAGAUACAUAUUUCCUUCGGGACAGGGAGACAGGUGGUGCAUGGUUGUCGUCAGCUCGUGUCGUGAGAUGUUGGGUUAAGUCCCGCAACGAGCGCAACCCUUGUAUACAGUUACCAGUAUUAAGUUAGGGACUCUGUAUAGACUGCCGUGGAUAACACGGAGGAAGGUGGGGACGACGUCAAAUCAUCAUGCCCCUUAUGUCUUGGGCUACACACGUGCUACAAUGGCCGCAACAGAGGGCAGCGAAGUGGCAACAUGGAGCGAAUCUCAAAAAAGCGGUCUCAGUUCAGAUUGUGGGCUGCAACCCGCCCACAUGAAGACGGAGUUGCUAGUAAUCGCGGAUCAGCAUGCCGCGGUGAAUGCGUUCCCGGGCCUUGUACACACCGCCCGUCACACCAUGGGAGUUGAGAGCACCCGAAGCCGGUGACCUAACCUUAGGGAAGGAGCCGUCGAAGGUGAGAUUGAUGAAUGGGGUGAA
This 1450-nucleotide ribosomal RNA is filed under the name uncultured organism. RNAcentral describes it as "SSU rRNA". It matches the Rfam family "Bacterial small subunit ribosomal RNA". The record is from RNAcentral.